GCCCUUCCUACGGGAGGCAGCAGUAGGGAAUCUUCCGCAAUGGACGAAAGUCUGACGGAGCAACGCCGCGUGAGUGAUGAAGGCUUUCGGGUCGUAAAACUCUGUUGUUAGGGAAGAACAAGUGCUAGUUGAAUAAGCUGGCACCUUGACGGUACCUAACCAGAAAGCCACGGCUAACUACGUGCCAGCAGCCGCGGUAAUAAGGGC
This 207-nucleotide ribosomal RNA is filed under the name uncultured bacterium. Its description in RNAcentral is "partial 16S ribosomal RNA". It matches the Rfam family "Bacterial small subunit ribosomal RNA", at positions 332 to 530 of the family's 1533-position model. The record is from RNAcentral.